This 22-nucleotide unclassified non-coding RNA is filed under the name Severe acute respiratory syndrome coronavirus 2. RNAcentral describes it as "RNA (5'-R(*CP*UP*AP*UP*UP*AP*AP*AP*AP*UP*CP*AP*CP*C)-3') from Severe acute respiratory syndrome coronavirus 2 (PDB 7N0D, chain K)". Lineage: Riboviria; Orthornavirae; Pisuviricota; Pisoniviricetes; Nidovirales; Coronaviridae. The record is from RNAcentral.
CGAAGAAGCUAUUAAAAUCACC